CCAAUAGCGUAUAUUAAAGUUGUUGCAGUUAAAAAGCUCGUAGUUGAAUUUCGGGAUCAGUACGCUGGUCGUGCCUUUGGUAUGUACUGGUGUCACUGAUUCCUCCCUUCUGAAGAACCGUUAUGCCAUUUAUUUGGUGUGGCGGGGAAUCAGGACUGUUACUUUGAAAAAAUUAGAGUGUUUAAAGCAGGCUCGCGCUUGAAUACAUUAGCAUGGAAUAAUGAAAUAGUACGUUUGAUCUUAUUUUGUUGGUUUCUAGGAUCGACGUAAUGAUUAAUAGGGAUAGUUGGGGGCAUUAGUAUUCAAUUGUCAGAGGUGAAAUUCUUGGAUUUAUUGAAGACUAACUACUGCGAAAGCAUUUGCCAAGGAUGUUUUCAUUAAUCAAGAACGAAAGUUAGGGGAUCGAAGACGAUCAGAUACCGUCGUAGUCUUAACCAUAAACUAUGCCGACUAGGGAUCGGAUGAUGUUAUUUUUAAUGACUCAUUCGGCGCCUUACG
This 498-nucleotide ribosomal RNA is filed under the name uncultured Glomeromycotina. RNAcentral's name for it is "partial small subunit ribosomal RNA". It matches the Rfam family "Eukaryotic small subunit ribosomal RNA", at positions 591 to 1092 of the family's 1831-position model. Lineage: Eukaryota; Fungi; Glomeromycota. The record is from RNAcentral.